This 924-nucleotide ribosomal RNA is filed under the name Virgibacillus halodenitrificans. Its description in RNAcentral is "bacterial SSU rRNA". It matches the Rfam family "Bacterial small subunit ribosomal RNA", at positions 29 to 917 of the family's 1533-position model. The record is from RNAcentral. Lineage: Bacteria; Bacillati; Bacillota; Bacilli; Caryophanales; Bacillaceae.
ACGAACGCUGGCGGCGUGCCUAAUACAUGCAAGUCGAGCGCGGGAAGCAAGCUGAUCCUCUUCGGAGGUGACGCUUGUGGAACGAGCGGCGGACGGGUGAGUAACACGUGGGCAACCUGCCUGUAAGACUGGGAUAACCCCGGGAAACCGGGGCUAAUACCGGAUAAUACUUUUCAUCACCUGAUGGAAAGUUGAAAGGUGGCUUCUUGCUACCACUUACAGAUGGGCCCGCGGCGCAUUAGCUAGUUGGUGAGGUAACGGCUCACCAAGGCAACGAUGCGUAGCCGACCUGAGAGGGUGAUCGGCCACACUGGGACUGAGACACGGCCCAGACUCCUACGGGAGGCAGCAGUAGGGAAUCUUCCGCAAUGGACGAAAGUCUGACGGAGCAACGCCGCGUGAGUGAUGAAGGUUUUCGGAUCGUAAAGCUCUGUUGUUAGGGAAGAACAAGUGCCGUUCGAAUAGGGCGGCACCUUGACGGUACCUAACCAGAAAGCCCCGGCUAACUACGUGCCAGCAGCCGCGGUAAUACGUAGGGGGCAAGCGUUGUCCGGAAUUAUUGGGCGUAAAGCGCGCGCAGGCGGUCCUUUAAGUCUGAUGUGAAAGCCCACGGCUUAACCGUGGAGGGUCAUUGGAAACUGGAGGACUUGAGUACAGAAGAGGAGAGUGGAAUUCCACGUGUAGCGGUGAAAUGCGUAAAGAUGUGGAGGAACACCAGUGGCGAAGGCGACUCUCUGGUCUGUAACUGACGCUGAGGCGCGAAAGCGUGGGGAGCGAACAGGAUUAGAUACCCUGGUAGUCCACGCCGUAAACGAUGAGUGCUAGGUGUUAGGGGGUUUCCGCCCCUUAGUGCUGAAGUUAACGCAUUAAGCACUCCGCCUGGGGAGUACGGCCGCAAGGCUGAAACUCAAAAGAAUUGACGGG